RNAcentral lists this ribosomal RNA (258 nucleotides) under uncultured bacterium. Its description in RNAcentral is "partial 16S ribosomal RNA". It matches the Rfam family "Bacterial small subunit ribosomal RNA", at positions 99 to 353 of the family's 1533-position model. The record is from RNAcentral.
CGGACGGGUGAGUAACGCGUGAGUAACCUGCCUUACAGAGGGGGAUAACGUCUGGAAACGGACGCUAAUACCGCAUGACAUAUAAUUACCGCAUGGUAAAGAUAUCAAAGGAGCAAUCCGCUGUAAGAUGGACUCGCGUCCGAUUAGCUAGUUGGAGGGGUAACGGCCCACCAAGGCGACGAUCGGUAGCCGGACUGAGAGGUCGAACGGCCACAUUGGGACUGAGACACGGCCCAGACUCCUACGGGAGGCAGCAUG